RNAcentral lists this ribosomal RNA (451 nucleotides) under uncultured bacterium. RNAcentral describes it as "bacterial SSU rRNA". It matches the Rfam family "Bacterial small subunit ribosomal RNA", at positions 354 to 796 of the family's 1533-position model. The record is from RNAcentral.
GUGGGGAAUAUUGCGCAAUGGGCGAAAGCCUGACGCAGCGACGCCGCGUGGGUGAUGAAGGCCUUCGGGUCGUAAAGCCCUGUCGGGAGGGACGAAACCCCGGUGACCGAAUACGUUGCCGGCUUGACGGUACCUCCUAAGGAAGCACCGGCUAACUCCGUGCCAGCAGCCGCGGUAAUACGGAGGGUGCAAGCGUUGUUCGGAAUCACUGGGCGUAAAGCGCGUGUAGGCGGCCACCUAAGUCUGGUGUGAAAGCCCGGGGCUCACCCCCGGAACUGCGCUGGAAACUGAGUGGCUAGAGUACCGGAGAGGAGGGUGGAAUUCCUGGUGUAGCGGUGAAAUGCGUAGAUAUCAGGAGGAACACCGGUGGCGAAGGCGGCCCUCUGGACGGCUACUGACGCUGAGACGCGAAAGCGUGGGGAGCAAACAGGAUUAGAAACCCUAGUAGUCC